AGUGGCGCACGGGUGCGUAACACGUGGGUAAUCAACCCUUUGGUCUGGGACAACGUUGGGAAACUGACGCUAAUACCGGAUAUGACGGCGGACACUUUGGUGUUUGUCGGGAAAGACCCGCAAGGGUCGCCAUAGGACGAGCUCGCGUCCCAUCAGCUAGUUGGUGAGGUAAUGGCUCACCAAGGCGAAGACGGGUAACUGGUCUGAGAGGAUGAUCAGUCACACUGGAACUGAGACACGGUCCAGACUCCUACGGGAGGCAGCAGUGGGGAAUAUUGCGCAAUGGGCGGAAGCCUGACGCAGCCACGCCGCGUGAGCGAUGAAGGCCUUCGGGUCGUAAAGCUCUGUGGGGAGAGAAGAACCAAGCCUGUGAAGAGCGGGCCCUGACGGUAUCUCCUUAGCAAGCACCGGCUAACUCCGUGCCAGCAGCCGCGGUAAUACGGAGGGUGCAAACGUUGCUCGGAAUCAUUGGGCGUAAAGCGCACGUAGGCGGUUUCGCAAGUUGGAUGUGAAAGCCCUGGGCUCAACCUAGGAAGUGCAUCCAAAACUGCGAGACUUGAGUCCCAGAGGGGGUCGGAGAAUUCCCGGUGUAGAGGUGAAAUUCGUAGAUAUCGGGAGGAAUACCAGUGGCGAAGGCGCCGACCUGGAGGGGUACUGACGCUGAGGUGCGAAAGCGUGGGGAGCAAACAGGAUUAGAUAC
This 700-nucleotide ribosomal RNA is filed under the name uncultured bacterium. RNAcentral's name for it is "bacterial SSU rRNA". It matches the Rfam family "Bacterial small subunit ribosomal RNA", at positions 94 to 785 of the family's 1533-position model. The record is from RNAcentral.